UUAAAUGAAGUUGACGGGGGAGCACCGACAACGGGUGGAGCUUGCGGUUUAAUUGGAUUCAACGCCGGAAAUCUUACCGGGACCGACAGCAAUAGUGAAGGCCAGGCUGAAGACUUUGCCGGAUUAGCUGGAGAGGUGGUGCAUGGCCGUCGUCAGUUCGUACUGUGAAGCAUCCUGUUAAGUCAGGCAACGAGCGAGACCCACGCCCACAGUUGCCAGCGUACUCUCUGGAGUGACGGGUACACUGUGGGGACCGCCGCUGCUAAAGCGGAGGAAGGAAUGGGCAACCGGUAGGUCAGUAUGCCCCGAAUAUCCCGGGCUACACGCGAGCUACAAUGGUUGGUACAAUGGGUAUCUACCCCGAAAGGGGACGGGAAAUCUCCUAAAACCAAUCUUAGUUCGGAUUGAGGGCUGCAACUCGCCCUCAUGAAGCUGGAAUCCGUAGUAAUCGCGUUUCAACAGAACGCGGUGAAUACGUCCCUGCUCCUU
Molecule: ribosomal RNA, 489 nt
Filed under: uncultured Methanosaeta sp.
Lineage: Archaea; Methanobacteriati; Methanobacteriota; Methanomicrobia; Methanotrichales; Methanotrichaceae
Description: bacterial SSU rRNA
Rfam family: Archaeal small subunit ribosomal RNA
Source: RNAcentral